CUAACUUGGUCCCUGGGCGUUGCCCUGCAGGGGAGUGAGCAGCUGUAAGAUUUGAGGGGCGACUCCGAUUAGUUUAUCUUCCCACGGACUAGAGUUGGUGUCGAGGUUAUUGUAAUAAGGGUGGGGUAGGGAAAUGGAGCUUAGUCAUUCACCUGGGGCUGAUUUUAUGCAACGAGACUGCGGAUUAUCACUACUUAUCAUUUUUGGAGCAUUUUUCUAGAGACAGACAUAAAGCAUGAUCACCUGAGUUUUAUACCAUUUGAGACCCUUGCUGCACCACCAAAGUGUAGCAUCAGGUUAAAUCUUAAUAGAAAAAUUUUAGCUUUUGCUUGAGAAACCAGUGCUUCCCUCCCUCACCCUCUCUCCCCAGGCUCUCUACCCCUUUGCAUCCCUACCAGGCAUCUUAGCAACUCUCACUCAUACUUGAUCCCAUUUUCCAUUUGUUGUACUUGCUCCUCUAGUAUUCAGACAUAGCACUAGCUUUCUCCCUCUCUUGAUCUUGGGUAGCCUGGUGUCUCGCGAAACCAGACAGAUUGGUUCCACCACAAAUUAAGGCUUGAGCUGGGGCUUGACUCUUACCCAGCAGUGCUUUUAUUCCUCCCUAGUUCACGUUCUUAAAUGUUUAUCUUGAUUUUCAUUUUAUCCUUUUUCCUUAGCUGGGAUUCUGUCCCUGACCGUCUUCACAGUCCAGGUGAUCUUGACUACUGCUUUACAGAGAAUUGGAUCUGAGGUUGCUCCUUGAGGGCAGGACAGUUCUUAUGGCUUUAUCCGUUGCGUAAGCACAGAGAGGUCUGCGAGGUCAAAACUAUUGUCAUGAUAGCAAGAUGCCUGUCUUUUUCAUUUAUUCUCACGGUGUGCAGAGGCUACAUGAUGUGUGAUGACAUCCUCAUUGAUGUUAAUGAAUGGUGCUAUACUUGAAUUUUCUAAGGUGUCAUUAGGUAGGUUUAGGUAUGCAUACUUGUUUUUAGAAAUUAUUUUUUUCCUUUUUCCCAUUUUUAGAAAUCAACUCAUUUUUUAGGUUAUGCCUUCAGUAAUCUUUGCAACCUCAAUAUUGUGUAAUGGUUACUUUAAAAUACUGUAGUUUUCUUUGUGCCUAAGUAUAAACAUAAGUACAUUUUGUUGUUUUGUUUGCAAUAGUGGUUUAAAUAUUUUCCCAAAAUAUCCAAAUUUAAAAAUUCUACAACUUUAGAAUUUAAUAAAUUUAUUCUAAAAUAUUUAUAUAUUUUUUCAUUUAAGAAUGGAUCGGCUUAAAAAGACUGCUUCUCAUUUACUUACUGGCUAUACCAUCUGUAUACUAAUAAAAAACAAGAUUUGAUUUGGAAGGACUGACUCAAACUAACGAAAAUAUGAAACCUGUCUUUCUGCUUUGGAGAUAUUUACCUAAUCAUGUUCUGCAGUAGAAUAAUUUAGUUCUUUUGUCUUUUUUUGGAGAUGAGGUCUUGCUGUGUUGCCCAGGCUAUUCACAGCUGCCAUCAUAGUGAACUACAGCCUGAAACUCCUGGGUUCAAGAGAUCCUUCUGCCUCAGCCUCCUGAGUAGCUGGAACUAUAGGCAUGCGCCACCAAGCCUGGGCUUUUAAAAAAAUUUUAAAAAGAAUUUUGAGACAGGAUCUUGCCAUGUUGCUCAGGCUAGUCUUCAACUCCUAGCCCUGAGUGAUCUUGCUUUGGGCCUCUCAAAAUGUUGAGUUAAUAGGCGUGAGCCACCAUACCCAGCCAAAAAUUUUUUUAGAGAUGGGAAUGGAAUGAUCUUGAAUAGUGUUGGUGCCACCUAUGUUGUGGCAUCAUUUUGAAACCAAUCAUUCAGAGUGCUUUUUUUGGUAAGGCAUUAUUUUUUAAUGCAGGUAUGCCACUACUGGGAAAAAAAAAAAAACAGGUUUUAAAGCUAGAAAUGAAAAGCUACUUAAGUAUCUUAAAGGAUAAGUUACUUUAUUAUACACUAGAAACAUACACAAUAGCUGAAAAACUUAAAAAAUCUCACACUGCUGAAUGUCUCUGCUGGCUGAAGUGUAAGUAAAAGAUCAUAGUAGUGCCGCUGUUGAGUGAUAAAGCAACUUGUCAUUAAAGAUGUGUGUGCAGACAUGGAUUCUGAGUUAAUAUCUCAUCUGUAGAAGUAUAUAUUUGUCCCUUGCUUUGGGAUUGGUUUCUGGACAGCACUCCCCCACCCUUGCUGGCCAUUUGCCAAGGACACCAAAACCCAAGGAUGUUGAAUUCCCUUUUAUAAAAUGGCGCUGUAUCUGCAUACAACUUACACACAUCCUCCCAUAUACUUUAAAUCAUUUCCAGAUUUCUUAUACUUCAUACAAUGUGAAUGCUAUAUAAAUAGUUGUUACAUUGUGUACUUAUAUUUGUACUAUUGUAUUAAAUAUUCUCAAAUAUUUUCAAGCACAUUUGGUUGAAUCUGCAGAUGCAGAACCUGAGGAUAUGGAGGGCUGACUGUGCUAAUACGUUAUCAAUGGAUGCGUGCAUAAACAUGGCUGGACUUGUUACUU
Molecule: long non-coding RNA, 2487 nt
Filed under: Homo sapiens (human)
Lineage: Eukaryota; Metazoa; Chordata; Mammalia; Primates; Hominidae
Description: non-protein coding THUMPD3-AS1:74
Source: RNAcentral